ACAGAGGCCUCAAGCGUUAGGCGGAAUCACUGGGCUUAAAGCGUGUGUAGGCGGAUCGUUAAGUGUCUUGUGAAAUCCCACGGCUCACCCGUGGAACUGCUGGGCAUACUGGCGAUCUUGGGCCAACUAGGGGCAGCCGGAACAAACGGUGGAGCGGUGAAAUGCGUAGAUAUCGUUUGGAACGCCAACGGUGAAAACAGCUCGCUGGGGGUGUGCUGACGCUGAGACACGAAAGCCAGGGGAGCGAACGGGA
RNAcentral lists this ribosomal RNA (253 nucleotides) under uncultured prokaryote. Its description in RNAcentral is "partial 16S ribosomal RNA". It matches the Rfam family "Bacterial small subunit ribosomal RNA", at positions 525 to 777 of the family's 1533-position model. The record is from RNAcentral.